GACGAACGCUGGCGGCGUGCUUAACACAUGCAAGUCGAACGGAAAGGCCCUGCUUUUGUGGGGUGCUCGAGUGGCGAACGGGUGAGUAACACGUGAGUAACCUGCCCUUGACUUUGGGAUAACUUCAGGAAACUGGGGCUAAUACCGGAUAGGAGCUCCUGCUGCAUGGUGGGGGUUGGAAAGUUUCGGCGGUUGGGGAUGGACUCGCGGCUUAUCAGCUUGUUGGUGGGGUAGUGGCUUACCAAGGCUUUGACGGGUAGCCGGCCUGAGAGGGUGACCGGCCACAUUGGGCCUGAGAUACGGCCCAGACUCCUACGGGAGGCAGCAGUGGGGAAUAUUGCACAAUGGGCGGAAGCCUGAUGCAGCAACGCCGCGUGCGGGAUGACGGCCUUCGGGUUGUAAACCGCUUUCGCCUGUGACGAAGCGUGAGUGACGGUAAUGGGUAAAGAAGCACCGGCUAACUAUGUG
RNAcentral lists this ribosomal RNA (468 nucleotides) under uncultured bacterium. RNAcentral describes it as "partial 16S ribosomal RNA". It matches the Rfam family "Bacterial small subunit ribosomal RNA", at positions 28 to 507 of the family's 1533-position model. The record is from RNAcentral.